CUCGUAGGCGGUUCGUCGCGUCCGGUGUGAAAGUCCAUCGCUUAACGGUGGAUCUGCGCCGGGUACGGGCGGGCUGGAGUGCGGUAGGGGAGACUGGAAUUCCCGGUGUAACGGUGGAAUGUGUAGAUAUCGGGAAGAACACCAAUGGCAAAGGCAGGUCUCUGGGCCGUUAUUGACGCUGAGGAGCGAAAGCGUGGGGAGCGAACA
Molecule: ribosomal RNA, 207 nt
Filed under: uncultured bacterium
Lineage: Bacteria
Description: partial 16S ribosomal RNA
Rfam family: Bacterial small subunit ribosomal RNA
Source: RNAcentral